GCCCUUAUAGUUGAACAACAACAAAAGCUUUUCGAGCUUUAGGUUUGAGUUAAAAUCUCAAUAAGAGCU
This is a non-coding RNA of Lytechinus variegatus (green sea urchin), 69 nucleotides long. Lineage: Eukaryota; Metazoa; Echinodermata; Echinoidea; Temnopleuroida; Toxopneustidae. The record is from the annotation of a RefSeq genome assembly.